AUGAUUUUAAAUAAUUAAAUGGCUGCGGUAUAAUUGACUGUACAAAGGUAGCAUAAUCAAUUGUUUUUUAAUUAAAAACUGGAAUGAAAGAGUUAAUGAGAUAUACACUGUCUCAUAUAUAUUAAAUUAAUUUAAAUUUUUAGUUAAAAUGCUAAAAUUAAUUUAUGGGACGAUAAGACCCUAUAGAAUUUUAUAUUAAUAUUUUAAUUAUAAUUUUAUUAUUGAAUAUUAAUAUUUUGUUGGGAGGAUAGGUAAAUUUAUUUAACUUUAUUUUAAAUAUUAACUUUAAUUAAAGAAUAUAUUUUGAUCUUUUAGUAAAAAUGAAAAGAGUAAAUUACCUUAGGGAUAACAGCGUAAUAUCUUUUUAAAGAUCUUAUUGAAAAAGAUGAUUGCGACCUCGAUGUUGAAUUAAGAUAAAUUUUAAAUGAAGAAAUUUAAUAAUUAAGUCUGUUCGACUUUUAAAAUCUUACAUGAUUUGAGUUCAAAUCGACGUGAGUCAGAUUG
RNAcentral lists this ribosomal RNA (504 nucleotides) under Bombus terrestris terrestris. RNAcentral's name for it is "partial large subunit ribosomal RNA". The stretch from base 345 to 503 matches the Rfam family "Bacterial large subunit ribosomal RNA", at positions 2473 to 2632 of the family's 2925-position model. Lineage: Eukaryota; Metazoa; Arthropoda; Insecta; Hymenoptera; Apidae. The record is from RNAcentral.